UCUUUUUUGAAGUAACGUCUGUAUUUUAUAAGAUAAGUAUCUGGAAGAAGUGCCCUACAAAUUCUUCAUGUAUUACAUUCCUAAAACUUAACAGCAACACACACACAUGUUGGAAAGAACAAUUGAACAAAGGAAAAGUUAGUUUUUUUUCAGUAAUAUUUCAAGAUAUACACCCAUAAACUUAUUUUAAUUCAAAAUGCAUGCGUAAAGAUAUAAACUAUUUUUUAAAAUUCAAAAUACACAAAUAUAAACUCUGUCCCUAAGCUUAGGUAGGGUGAUUGACACACACAAACUAAUCACACACAUUCUAUGCUAUAAUAAGAAUUUGAUAAUCUUUGGUGGUUCAUUAAACACUGAACACAGAAACAACAUGAGAAUUUAUUUAAGUAGAAAAUCAUGACACCCGGAGUAUAGGUUGCUAGACCCUGUUCACCUGCAAGACCUUCUCUCCCUUAUAUAAUUAGGUAUUCACACGUCUGAUAAAGUGACAAAAAAUUUAUAUAUAUAUAUAUAUAUAU
This is a non-coding RNA of Biomphalaria pfeifferi, 518 nucleotides long. Lineage: Eukaryota; Metazoa; Mollusca; Gastropoda; Planorbidae. The record is from the annotation of a GenBank genome assembly.